UACGUAGGGUGCAAGCGUUGUCCGGAAUUAUUGGGCGUAAAGAGCUCGUAGGCGGUUUGUUGCGUCGGCUGUGAAAUCCCCGAGGCUCAACCUCGGGUCUGCAGUCGAUACGAGCAAACUAGAGUGUUGCAGGGGAGACUGGAAUUCCUGGUGUAGCGGUGAAAUGCGCAGAUAUCAGGAGGAACACCGAUGGCGAAGGCGGGUCUCUGGGCCGAGUACUGACGCUGAGGAGCGAAAGCAUGGGUAGCGAACAGG
This 255-nucleotide ribosomal RNA is filed under the name uncultured bacterium. Its description in RNAcentral is "partial 16S ribosomal RNA". It matches the Rfam family "Bacterial small subunit ribosomal RNA", at positions 524 to 776 of the family's 1533-position model. The record is from RNAcentral.